Molecule: small RNA, 30 nt
Filed under: Bombyx mori (domestic silkworm)
Lineage: Eukaryota; Metazoa; Arthropoda; Insecta; Lepidoptera; Bombycidae
Description: ovarian small RNA-1133
Source: RNAcentral
UCGGUGACUCUAAGUGAUGGCGGGGCCGCU